UGCUGGUCUCCGACGGGGAAGGUACCGAGGGAAUCUAUCCGGGGACAGACUUCGUAAAAAAUGAUGAGAAGUCGGGAAAAGAGGAAAAAUCAAGAAAUGAUGCGAUUAAGAAAAAAUACAGAUUCGAUGCAAGCGAUAACUUGAACCUUCAAUUAUUGUCUGCGAUAAACUGCAACUAUAUAAGGAUCCAGCGCUUGUUUUCAAAAUGAGAUUAAGUAGAAAUGGGAAUUAAAUGAACGAGAUACUAUUUUCUCAAGAUAUAAGAUUUAAAAUGGUGACUAGAGGAGAAGAAAACACUGGAGUGUAACAAAUCAAUGGCUGCUUUCCAACAAUGUACACUAAUGAUGUAAUCAUAUUGGAUCAACAUCGACAAAGUUGCUGAAUGGGUUUUUUUUUGCUUCGUACACGUCGUAGCAAAAUUUUUCAAUAAACGGAUACACAUCCCACACAAAACAAAAACUCCAUUAGACAUCCACAGCUCCAUGCGACAUCUAAUGGAUGUCUAGAUGGAUAGAUGUCUGUGUGGGAUGUUUAUUACAUCUAGCUCAGUAUCUACUGGAUAAGAAAAUUAUAAAGUAUAAUCUGUAUUUGAUUUGUUCCUUUUCAAUUCAAUGAAAAUCUCGUUUUGUAAUGAGAAUGUGACGGCAAAUGUGUCUGAUAUAUGUCUGUAAAAUAUUUUUGUCUGUUUUGUAAAUAUGAACAUACAUGUAUUGAUCUAGCAAAAUGAUGUAUUGUUUCACCUCUUUCCGUCUUGU
Pseudomyrmex gracilis is the source of this 755-nucleotide long non-coding RNA. RefSeq lists it as uncharacterized. The transcript is spliced from 4 exons. The record is from RefSeq and is a predicted model, not a curated record. Lineage: Eukaryota; Metazoa; Arthropoda; Insecta; Hymenoptera; Formicidae.